Molecule: ribosomal RNA, 473 nt
Filed under: uncultured bacterium
Lineage: Bacteria
Description: SSU rRNA
Rfam family: Bacterial small subunit ribosomal RNA
Source: RNAcentral
AGGACGAACGCUGGCGGCGUGCUUAACACAUGCAAGUCGAGCGGAAAGGCCCUUCGGGGUACUCGAGCGGCGAACGGGUGAGUAACACGUGAGCAAUCUGCCCUUAGCUUCGGGAUAGCCCCGGGAAACCGGGAUUAAUACCGAAUACGACCUCGGCCGACAUCGGCUUUGGUGGAAAGUUUUUCGGCUAGGGAUGAACUCGCGGCCUAUCAGCUUGUUGGUGGGGUAAUGGCCUACCAAGGCGACGACGGGUAGCCGGCCUGAGAGGGCGACCGGCCACACUGGGACUGAGACACGGCCCAGACUCCUACGGGAGGCAGCAGUGGGGAAUAUUGCGCAAUGGGCGAAAGCCUGACGCAGCGACGCCGCGUGGGGGAUGAAGGCCUUCGGGUUGUAAACCCUUUCAGCAGGGACGAAGCGAGAGUGACGGUACCUGCAGAAGAAGCGCCGGCUAACUACGCGCCAGCAGCCGC